GAUGAUGUGUCAUACCAAAGUCACAGAAC
This 29-nucleotide non-coding RNA is filed under the name Mus musculus (house mouse). The record is from RNAcentral. Lineage: Eukaryota; Metazoa; Chordata; Mammalia; Rodentia; Muridae.